RNAcentral lists this ribosomal RNA (301 nucleotides) under uncultured bacterium. RNAcentral's name for it is "partial 16S ribosomal RNA". It matches the Rfam family "Bacterial small subunit ribosomal RNA", at positions 509 to 808 of the family's 1533-position model. The record is from RNAcentral.
CAGUCGCCGCGGGAAUACGUAGGUCCCGAGCGCUGUCCGGAUUUAUUGGGCGUAAAGCGAGCGCAGGCGGUUAGAUAAGUCUGAAGUUAAAGGCUGUGGCUUAACCAUAGUACGCUUUGGAUACUGUUUAACUUGAGUGCAAGAGGGGAGAGUGGAAUUCCAUGUGUAGCGGUGAAAUGCGUAGAUAUAUGGAGGAACACCGGUGGCGAAAGCGGCUCUCUGGCUUGUAACUGACGCUCAUGCACGAAAGCGUGGGGAGCAAACAGGAUUAGAUACCCCGGUAGUCCCUGUCUCUUAUACA